CCUACGGGAGGCAGCAGUGAGGAAUAUUGGUCAAUGGGCGCGAGCCUGAACCAGCCAAGUAGCGUGAAGGAUGACUGCCCUACGGGUUGUAACCUUCUUUUAUAAAGGAAUAAAGUGAGGCACGUGAGCCUUUUUGUAUGUACUUUAUGAAUAAGGAUCGGCGAACUCCGGGCCAGCAGCCGCGGUAAUACGGAGGAUCCGAGCGUUAUCCGGAUUUAUUGGGUUUAAAGGGAGCGUAGAUGGGUUGUUAAGUUAGUUGUGAAAGUUUGCGGGUCAAACGUAAAAUUGCAAUUGAUACUGGCAGCCUUGAGUGCAGUUGAGGUAGGCGGAAUUCGUGGUGUAGCGGUGAAAUGCUUAGAUAUCACGAAGAACUCCGAUUGCGAAGGCAGCUUACUAAACUGCCACUGACAUUGAUGCUCGAAAGUGUGGGUAUCAAACAGGAUUAGAUACCCCUGUAGUC
Molecule: ribosomal RNA, 460 nt
Filed under: uncultured bacterium
Lineage: Bacteria
Description: partial 16S ribosomal RNA
Rfam family: Bacterial small subunit ribosomal RNA
Source: RNAcentral